AUACUUACCUGGCAGGGGAGAUACCAUGAUCAAGAAGGUGGUUCACCCGGGCGAGGCUCAGCCAUUGCACUCCGGUUGCGCUGACCCUGCGAAUUCCCCAAAUGUGGGAGU
RNAcentral lists this small nuclear RNA (111 nucleotides) under Lates calcarifer (barramundi perch). RNAcentral's name for it is "U1 spliceosomal RNA (ENSLCAG00010025061.1)". It matches the Rfam family "U1 spliceosomal RNA", at positions 1 to 114 of the family's 166-position model. From Rfam's summary of the family: U1 is a small nuclear RNA (snRNA) component of the spliceosome (involved in pre-mRNA splicing). Its 5' end forms complementary base pairs with the 5' splice junction, thus defining the 5' donor site of an intron. Lineage: Eukaryota; Metazoa; Chordata; Actinopteri; Centropomidae. The record is from Rfam by way of RNAcentral.